ACUACGGGAGACAGCAGUGGGGAAUAUUGCACAAUGGGGGAAACCCUGAUGCAGCGACGCCGCGUGAGUGAAGAAGUAUUUCGGUAUGUAAAGCUCUAUCAGCAGGGAAGAAAAUGACGGAAACUGAUUAAGACGCCACGGCUAAGUAAGUGCCAGCAGCCGCGGGAAUACGUAGGGGGCAAGCGUUAUCAUGAUAUACUGGGUGUAAAGGGAGCGUAGACGGCAGCACAAGUUUGGAGCGAAAUGCCGGGGCUUAACCCAGGAACUUCUUUUGAAACUGUGAAGCUAGAGUGCAGGAGAGGUAAGUGGAAUUCCUAGUGUAGCGGUGAAAUGCGUAGAGAUUAGGAGGAACACCAGUAGCGAAGGCGGCUUACUGGACUUUAACUGACGUUGAGGCUCGAAAGCGUGGGGAGCAAACAGGAUUAGAUACCCUGGUAGU
RNAcentral lists this ribosomal RNA (439 nucleotides) under uncultured bacterium. Its description in RNAcentral is "partial 16S ribosomal RNA". It matches the Rfam family "Bacterial small subunit ribosomal RNA", at positions 338 to 794 of the family's 1533-position model. The record is from RNAcentral.